GAGUGUGAGCAUGCCUGUC
Molecule: non-coding RNA, 19 nt
Filed under: Arabidopsis thaliana (thale cress)
Lineage: Eukaryota; Viridiplantae; Streptophyta; Magnoliopsida; Brassicales; Brassicaceae
Source: RNAcentral